UGGGGAAUAUUGCACAAUGGAGGGAACUCUGAUGCAGCGACGCCGCGUGAACGAAGAAGGCUUUCGAGUCGUAAAGUUCUUUUAUAUGGGAAGAUAAUGACGGUACCAUAAGAAGAAGCCCCGGCUAACUACGUGCCAGCAGCCGCGGUAAUACGUAGGGGGCUAGCGUUGUCCGGAAUCACUGGGCGUAAAGGGUUCGCAGGCGGAAAUGCAAGUCAGGUGUAAAAGGCAGUAGCUUAACUACUGUAAGCAUUUGAAACUGCAUAUCUUGAGAAGAGUAGAGGUAAGUGGAAUUUUUAGUGUAGCGGUGAAAUGCGUAGAUAUUAAAAAGAAUACCGGUGGCGAAGGCGACUUACUGAGCUCAUUCUGACGCUGAGGAACGAAAGCGUGGGUAGCAAACAGG
RNAcentral lists this ribosomal RNA (403 nucleotides) under bacterium. RNAcentral describes it as "partial 16S ribosomal RNA". It matches the Rfam family "Bacterial small subunit ribosomal RNA", at positions 355 to 776 of the family's 1533-position model. The record is from RNAcentral.